RNAcentral lists this non-coding RNA (78 nucleotides) under Magnetovibrio blakemorei. Lineage: Bacteria; Pseudomonadati; Pseudomonadota; Alphaproteobacteria; Rhodospirillales; Magnetovibrionaceae. The record is from RNAcentral.
CGCCAUAAACGUGGUGAUUUGGCCGGUCGGCUUGCGGCCACGUAAAACAAUCCGCUAAAAGGCCGAAGCACAGCGAAA